Long non-coding RNA from Bos taurus (domestic cattle), 2782 nucleotides. The record is from Ensembl. Lineage: Eukaryota; Metazoa; Chordata; Mammalia; Artiodactyla; Bovidae.
CAAUCACCAGCCCUUCCGGCAGCCAGGCGGCCGCAGCGGAAAGCCAGGGCUGAACCCAGAAGGGGCGCUUGGCGCGCCCCGCCUACCCCUGGCGCGUCCUGCGACUCAGGUGCUCCCGAGAGCCUGGGCGGGCCCCGCUGUCGCGGCCGACCGUCCCCUCCCAGAGCCGAGGGCCAGAGGGAAACGCCGGCUUCACCCGGAAGCUCGGGAAGAGCUAGACUCGGCCCCGGCGCGCCGCUUUCCACUGCCACAGACAAAAAACACCUCAGUUGACUGUCUAGAGUUGAAGCCCUUGAUUUAGAAGGUUUCUAAAGUCCUAUUUGGAGGCUGGAAAUGACGCAAAACACAGAGCAUUCAAGUGCGGAGGAGCUGCCACAGAACACAAAUGGACUUCCUUGGUUGUCCAGUGGUUAAGAAUCUGCCCGCCCAUUCAGGAGACAUGGAUUCAGUCCUAUCUCGGAAGACCCCACAUGCCAAGGAGCAACUAGACCCAUGGGCCACAAGUACUGAACCUGCAAUUUAGAGCCCUCGAGCUGCAAUUUCAGUAUCCCACACACCUAGAGUCCUUGCUUCCCAGCAAGAGAAGCUACUGCAAAGAGAAGCCCGCACACCGCAACUGGAGAGUAGCCCCUGCUCUGCCCAUAACUAGAGAAAGCCUUCGCACAUCAAUGAAGACCCAGCACAGCCAAAAAUAAAUAAAUAUAGAUUUUAAAAAGGAAUUAUGUGCUUCAGUUUUAACUGCAUCACAUUCUAAAAUUCAUUUCCCAGAUUACCUGGUGGCGGAAAUUCUUGUGAGUCAAAAUAAAAGCCCUGUUCUUCUUAGCACUUAAAUCAUUUUCUGGUGGUGAUUUCUGCUCUGAGAAGCCAGUUCAUCUAAUUUCAGGACUGUUCUGUGCCAGGAAAUAACUUGGGUUAAGGCAAGAACAGAGCCUGUUAUCAGAUAGUAUCACUGGAAGAAUAUACCAGAGAAACGGGUGACAGUAAUUGCCCUUGGACAGGGCAACAUGGGAAACAGGUUACUAAGUCAUGUCCGACUCUUUGCAACUCCAUGGACUGUAGCACACCAGGCUCCUUUGUUUUCCACUAUCUCCCAGAGUUUGCUCAAAUUAAUGUCCUCUGAGUCAGUGAUGCUCACUGGCAAUACUAUCUGUACAUAUCUGGUAUUUAUUUGAGAGAGAAGGGAGCAAGAUAGUGCAGUAGUAUGAGUUUGCAGCCAAUACAAGCUACCACCUUCCUCUGGCCCCAGGUUGCCUUCCUCAGCUUUCACCCUUACUGGGUAUAGCAGCUCAAAGGUGCCUUUGCCAACACACACUGAAUCGUGAAAGACAAGAAGACCCAGCAGCAGGAUUUUUGCUGAGUGUGUGGCAAGGCAUGAAACCUAAGGCUGGACUAGAUGUCAAAGACAAGAUCUUGUGGUACAUAGGUCAAAACAUACUUCUUGAAUCUUCUAAUUUGCAUACAAUUCAUCUUUCCCUCAAGACGUUUGAAACAAGAAAUGAAAACUAAUUAAAGAUGUAAACUAUCCUGGACCGCCUCAACUAUUGUUUGGACCAAAGUGAUCAGGUCCUUGUCCUUCUUGCCUAACAGAAGAAAGGGUGUGUCUUCUAGGGGAGAGGAGGUAGUAUUUACUCCAAUAUCUAUGGUCUUUUAAAACAUUGUCUGGAUAACGUCAAUUAAAAGACUUGAGAAGAAACAGGGCUGCUGCUGCUGCUAAGUCGCUUCAGUCAUGUCCGACUCUGUGCGACCCCAUAGACGGCAGCCCACUAAGCUCCCCCGUCCCUGGGAUUCUCCAGGCAAGAACACUGGAGUGGGUUGCCAUUUCCUUCUCCAAUGCUUGGAAGUGAAAAGUGAAAGUGAAGUUGCUCAGUCGUCUCCGACUCAUAGCGACCCCAUGGACUGCAGCCCACCAGGCUCCUCCGUCCAUGGGAUUUUCCAGGCAAGAGUACUGGAGUGGGGUGCCAUCGCCUUCUAAAAUCAAGAGGAAAAAAAUCAAUAGAAAAUAGAAGCAGAUCUAUAGACGACCCAGAUGUUGAAUUAAGAUGGAAGAACUUUAAUAUAACUAUUGUAAAUACAUUAAAAUUAUUUGAUGAACAGAAUGAAUGAAAGAAAUUUUUAAACAAAGAAAUGAAUCUCUAAAAAGAACGAACAAAAUGGAACUACAGACAUAAAAUGUGAAUAUUUAAAUAUAGCUCAGUAAAUUUAUAGCCAUUAUUUCCCAAUCACCUUGAUUCAAUAUGUGAAACAUUUUGGUAUAGCUGAUAGAGACUUGAGAAACACCUUGAUCUGGUUAGCAACAUAACACUGUAGCUCUAAAGUGUAUCAUUUUCUCAGCAGAUUUGUUUCAUUAUCUUUUUGUUGAAAAAUGUUUAACCUUUUGCAAAAAUUCUGUGAAUGCACUCUAUUUUGGACUCCUGAUCUCCUAUAUACUGUCACCAUGUAGAAAAUUUCAGAGAAAGUUCUAUUACAAACACAAGUAACUGUUCAUUUUUAAAAUUGUUUUGACAUUUACAGAUUAAUACAGAAAAAUCAACUGCCCUAUGAUCUUGGAGGAGCCAGGGUUUUCAUAUGCUCCUGUUUACUCCUUUCCUUUUAAAUCAAAGAAAAAUUCUGAUUGUAAAACAUUUUACAUGGUCUUACUUUCACCAUCCUUGAUAUAUCUUUACUCUCCCUGCUACAAUUCCAAGGCCUUAACAAUUUCAACCUUCUCUAAGAAUAUCUGCCUCUGAACCAGAAUUGUAACACAAUGCCUCAGAUAAUUCAUUCUAUACCUUUUAUGAUAUGC